Molecule: ribosomal RNA, 253 nt
Filed under: bacterium
Lineage: Bacteria
Also listed under: 1 other name
Description: partial 16S ribosomal RNA
Rfam family: Bacterial small subunit ribosomal RNA
Source: RNAcentral
UACAGAGGGUGCAAGCGUUAAUCGGAGUUACUGGGCGUAAAGGGCGCGUAGGCUGAUGUUUAAGUUAAUUGUGAAAUCCCUGGGCUUAACCUAGGAAUUGCAGUUAAUACUGGACAUCUAGAGUAUGGUAGAGGAAAGUGGAAUUCUCGGUGUAGUGGUUAAAUACGUAGAUAUCGAGAAGAACACCGGUGGCGAAGGCGACUUUCUGGACCAAUACUGACGCUGAGGCGCGAAAGCGUGGGGAGCAAACAGG